UUCAAAAUCAUUUCUUAAGUAACAAAAUUGGCCCUCUAUUGAAAUCAUGGCUCUGUCCUAGUAUGACUAAGCACAUUCAUGAGGUGUCAAAACAGAAUGAUACAAGAAUAUAUAAUCCAUUUAGACAUCCAAGAGCACUACAUAGAAUGGCGAGAUACACUGCAGUCCCCCUUUGGGAGUCAUCAUCAUUUUUCAUCAACCCUGUUUCAGUAACGGCAGAAUAACGAGGAUUACUAUCAGGAGAAGGCCAGAUAUGAAUCCCAUGGCAAGAGGCAGUCCUUCGAGAACAACAUUACUUUCUUCUCUGUCAUUUUCCUCCUCCUCGGGAGGCUUUGAAGUGGAGUAGCAAACUAAGAAAAAUUCACCACAGAGACCAGG
Molecule: long non-coding RNA, 378 nt
Filed under: Phoenix dactylifera (date palm)
Lineage: Eukaryota; Viridiplantae; Streptophyta; Magnoliopsida; Arecales; Arecaceae
Description: long non-coding RNA (PDAC_LNC014694)
Source: RNAcentral